GGGGGCACCCAAAAUGAAGGAUUCGGGUGGGGCACUCCAAAUGAAGGUUUGGAGGGAGAGGGGGAGCACCCCAAAUGAAGGAUUAGAGGGAUGGGGCACCCCAAAUGAAGGAUUAGGGAUGGGGCACCCCAAAUGAAGGAUUAAAGGGUGUGGCACCCCAAAUGAAGGAUUAGAGGGAUAGGGCACCCCAAAUGAAGGAUUAGGGACGGGGCACCCCAAAUGAAGGAUUAGGGAUGGGGAACCCCAAAUGAAGGAUUAGGGAUGGGGCACCCCAAAUGAAGGAUUGGAAAGGUGGGGCACCCCAAAUGAAGGAUUAGAGGGAUGGGGCACCCCAAAUGAAGGAUUAGAAGGAUGGGGAACCCCAAAUGAAGGAUUAGAGGGAGAGGGGGGGCACCCCAAAUGAAGGAUUAGAGGGAUGGGGCACCCCAAAUGAAGGAUUAGGGAUGGUGCACCCCAAAUGAAGGAUUAGGGAUGGGGCACCCCAAAUGAAGGAUUAGCAGGGGGCACCCCAAACGAAGGAUUAGAAAUAUACAUCUGUAUUUGAUUUCUACUUGGUUUUGAACACCUGAAAUGCUAAAACACAACACUGUUUCUCUGCGUGUGCAGAGGGUAUUUGUUUUCUUCAGACAGAAUUAGCUGUCAAUAAAAUCAAUACAAUUUGACGGAUCGUUAUAUUGAAGCAGAUUCAAUACACAUCCUCAAUCAUCAGUCAAAUGGAACAUGUGUGUGACAUUCUGUUUGGCUGGCUCAAUACCCAAAGUCUAGCCCCUGUUGAACUUGAUCUAAAGCCUCUAAGGCUGGGGUUAACAGUUAGUUUAGCAUGUAUAGCUUACUUGCAGCAUCCUCACAUUACAAAUAUUACUGUAGCCUUUUCUCCUCAAAUGUCAGAUACAUACCAUUGAGCAUACAUGUAUUUGUGUCAUGUACAUAAUACCUUUUGAAGUCAGUUUUUUGGGGUUUGCUAUCACGUGUUGACGUUUUAUUUAGUCUGCUUUCUUCUUCUGGUGAUUUUCUUUUAAUUUGAUACUUGUAUCGGACAGAUUUUCUGUUUUGUAAAAAAAAACGUAGAUAUGUAAUAUGGGACGUUGCAUGUAUUUUGUGUACAAAGUUUUCUGGUGUCUGUAGUGACUGUGAAAAAUGACAACCACUCACUUGUAUUGCCCUGUGAAUAUUUUGCUAAGUUAUUUCUAACCUCGGCAUUGAUGUACGUUGCUGUAAUUUUUCAGCUUUAAACGUUGACACCAAUCAUGAAUUAAAACCAUUCUGGAAACUGA
Salvelinus fontinalis (brook trout) is the source of this 1274-nucleotide long non-coding RNA. RefSeq lists it as uncharacterized. NCBI's taxonomy places the organism in Eukaryota, Metazoa, Chordata, Actinopteri, Salmoniformes, Salmonidae. The transcript is spliced from 2 exons. The record is from RefSeq and is a predicted model, not a curated record.